This 410-nucleotide ribosomal RNA is filed under the name Verrucomicrobiota bacterium. Its description in RNAcentral is "Verrucomicrobia bacterium partial 16S ribosomal RNA". It matches the Rfam family "Bacterial small subunit ribosomal RNA", at positions 355 to 776 of the family's 1533-position model. The record is from RNAcentral. Lineage: Bacteria; Pseudomonadati; Verrucomicrobiota.
UGGGGAAUCUUGCACAAUGGGCGAAAGCCUGAUGCAGCGACGCCGCGUGCGGGAUGAAGGCCUUCGGGUUGUAAACCGCUUUCAGCAGGGACGAGGCCGCAAGGUGACGGUACCUGCAGAAGAAGCCCCGGCUAACUACGUGCCAGCAGCCGCGGUAAUACGUAGGGGGCAAGCGUUAUCCGGAUUCAUUGGGCGUAAAGCGCGCGUAGGCGGUUUGUUAGGUCAGGAGUUAAAUCUGGGGGCUCAACCCCUAUCCGCUCCUGAUACCGGCAGGCUUGAGUCUGUUAGGGGAAGGCGGAAUUCCAAGUGUAGCGGUGAAAUGCGCAGAUAUUUGGAAGAACACCGGUGGCGAAGGCGGCCUUCUGGGCCACGACUGACGCUGAGGCGCGAAAGCUAGGGGAGCGAACAGG